Molecule: long non-coding RNA, 755 nt
Organism: Stegostoma tigrinum
Lineage: Eukaryota; Metazoa; Chordata; Chondrichthyes; Orectolobiformes; Stegostomatidae
Exons: 3
Source: RefSeq, a predicted model, not a curated record
UUUCUGCAUGUAGACGCAGCAUGCCAGAAUUACAAUGCUGACUACUGCUGUUCUAUAAGUUAAUGGCUCUGAAGGUGUUAAUAUUCACGUCAAACUGGGUCUGAUAAUUUUACUUAUGCUGCACAUAGUCUUGUGAAGAAGGCAACGAGUUCCACUCUUGCUUUUGAGGUAUAAUGUAUCUUCUGUAGAGGGUCUACAGUGCAUCCUCUAAUCAUAAGAAGCCCAAAAGAAAGAAAGAAGAAAAUGAGGACUGGUAGCAGUGAACUGCCACAAACAACCCCGCUCCGGUACCAUGUACUGGAAGAAUUGGCAGAUACCAUAAGGAUGAGGGCAUUCUGACCAGCACAGCGUUUAUUGCCCAUCCCUAACUGUGCAGAGGGCUAUUAAGACUCAACCAUAUUUCGUAGGUUUUGGAGUCACAUGUGGGCCAGACCAGGUUGGGUUUUUCCUGACAAUUGUUAAUGGAUUCAUGGUCAUCAUCAGACUUUCAAUUCCAGGGUUACAUUGAAUUCAAAUUCUACCAUCUGCCAAGGCAGGAUUUGAACCCAGAUCCCCAGAACAUUACCUGGAUAUCUGGAAUAACAGCCUAGACAUAAUACCACUAGGCUGUCACCUUCCUUUAACUAUACUGCAACUAUACAUAACCAGGUGUAAAACAUUUAGAACAUGUACAGGUUGUUAGACUCACUGUAUAAUUGUAUGUUUGUUUGAAAUGUCAAGUAAAGUUAGAGAAGGAACCAUUCUAUUUUAUCUGC